UACGUAGGGCGCAAGCGUUGUCCGGAAUUAUUGGGCGUAAAGAGCUCGUAGGCGGCUUGUCACGUCGAUUGUGAAAGCCCGAGGCUUAACCUCGGGUCUGCAGUCGAUACGGGCUAGCUAGAGUGUGGUAGGGGAGAUCGGAAUUCCUGGUGUAGCGGUGAAAUGCGCAGAUAUCAGGAGGAACACCAAUGGCGAAGGCAGAUCUCUGGGCCGUAACUGACGCUGAGGAGCGAAAGCAUGGGGAGCGAACAGG
RNAcentral lists this ribosomal RNA (253 nucleotides) under uncultured bacterium. Its description in RNAcentral is "partial 16S ribosomal RNA". It matches the Rfam family "Bacterial small subunit ribosomal RNA", at positions 524 to 776 of the family's 1533-position model. The record is from RNAcentral.